CUCUCCAAUUGUUUUAUGCUUGCAUAAAUGAUUUUUGGAUUCGGAGCGAGUGGCGAACUGGUGAGUAACACGUGGGUAACCUGCCCCGAAGCGGGGGAUAACAUUUGGAAACAAGUGCUAAUACCGCAUAAUUAGUUGGAACCGCAUGGUUCCAACUUGAAAGAUGGCUCUGCUAUCACUUUGGGAUGGACCCGCGCCGUAUUAGUUAGUUGGUGAGAUAAAAGCCCACCAAGACGAUGAUACGUAGCCGACCUGAGAGGGUAAUCGGCCACAUUGGGACUGAGACACGGCCCAGACUCCUACGGGAGGCAGCAGUAGGGAAUCUUCCACAAUGGACGAAAGUCUGAUGGAGCAACGCCGCGUGAGUGAUGAAGGUUUUCGGAUCGUAAAACUCUGUUGUUAAAGAAGAACAAGUGUUAGAGUAACUGUUAACACUUUGACGGUAUUUAACCAGAAAGCCACGGCUAACUACGUGCCAGCAGCCGCGGUAAUACGUAGGUGGCAAGCGUUGUCCGGAUUUAUUGGGCGUAAAGCGAGCGCAGGCGGUUUUGUAAGUCUGCUGUGAAAGCCCUCAGCUCAACUGAGGAAGUGCAGUGGAAACUACAAAACUUGAGUACAGAAGAGGAAAGUGGAACUCCAUGUGUAGCGGUGAAAUGCGUAGAUAUAUGGAAGAACACCAGUGGCGAAGGCGGCUUUCUGGUCUGUUACUGACGCUGAGGCUCGAAAGCAUGGGUAGCGAACAGGAUUAGAUACCCUGGUAGUCCAUGCCGUAAACGAUGAAUACUAGGUGUUGGAGGGUUUCCGCCCUUCAGUGCCGCAGCUAACGCAUUAAGUAUUCCGCCUGGGGAGUACGACCGCAAAGGUUGAAACUCAAAGGAAUUGACGGGGGCCCGCACAAGUGGUGGAGCAUGUGGUUUAAUUCGAUGCUACGCGAAGAACCUUACCAGCUCUGACAUCUUCUGCUAACCCAAGAGAUUGGGCGUUCCCUUCGGGGACAGAUGACAGUGGUGCAUGGGUUGGUCGUCAGCUCGUGUCGUGAGAUGUUGGGUUUAAGUCCGCACGAGCGCACCCUUAUU
RNAcentral lists this ribosomal RNA (1076 nucleotides) under Apilactobacillus kunkeei. RNAcentral's name for it is "bacterial SSU rRNA". It matches the Rfam family "Bacterial small subunit ribosomal RNA", at positions 53 to 1109 of the family's 1533-position model. Lineage: Bacteria; Bacillati; Bacillota; Bacilli; Lactobacillales; Lactobacillaceae. The record is from RNAcentral.